Molecule: ribosomal RNA, 440 nt
Filed under: uncultured bacterium
Lineage: Bacteria
Description: partial 16S ribosomal RNA
Rfam family: Bacterial small subunit ribosomal RNA
Source: RNAcentral
CCUACGGGUGGCAGCAGUGGGGAAUAUUGCACAAUGGGCGCAACCCUGAUGCAGCAACGCCGCGUGAGUGAGGAAGUAUUUCGGUAUGUAAAGCUCUAUCAGCAGGGAAGAAAAUGACAGUAACUGACUAAGAAGCCCCGGCUAACUACGUGCCAGCAGCCGCGGUAAUACGUAGGGGGCAAGCGUUAUCCGGAUUUACUGGGUGUAAAGUGAGCGUAGACGGCUGCGCAAGUCAGAAGUGAAAGCCCGGGGCUCAACCGCGGGACUGCUUUUGAAACUGGCGGGCUGGAGUUGGGGAGAAGACAGCGGAAUGCGCGGUGUAGCGGUGAAAUGCUUAGAUAUAGCGCAGAACCCCGAUUGCGAAGGCAGCGUACCGGCUCCAAACUGACGCUGAGGCACGAAAGCGUGGGUAUCGAACAGGAUUAGAUACCCCGGUAGUC